Molecule: non-coding RNA, 389 nt
Organism: Salvelinus namaycush (lake trout)
Lineage: Eukaryota; Metazoa; Chordata; Actinopteri; Salmoniformes; Salmonidae
Source: the annotation of a RefSeq genome assembly
AUGUUACAGACCAAGCAGCGUGGUAUCGAGAGGCAGCGAUAUCUGGAGAAAUGGACAUGGGAGGAGAUAUUGGACGAUGGAGAUCUUGCUACACCUGCUGUGACUCUGUUCCCUCCAUCCACUGAAGACCUCAAGUCCAGCAGAGCAACACUGGUGUGUCUGACUAGUAACCUGUCUCAGAAGUCCAAGGGGUUGGCAGAUGUCAGCUGGAUGUCUAACAGUGAAUCAGUGACAGAAGAUGUUUCUACCAGCCCUGCUGAGCAGCAACCAGACAAAACCUUCAAGAUCAGCAGCUAUCUGACCAUUCAGACUGCAGAGUGGGAUAAGGGCGUGGUUGUCGUGUCUUUACUAUCAUUAAAUUGAAGACUUAUAGUUUUUAUCAAAGAUUC